AACAUCCCCGCGGGAGAGUCCGGAGCCAGCCCUGCUGGCCACCGGCGCCGAAGGCGCAACCGCCCCGGAAACGCUCAGGCAAACGGACCGCGUGGGAACU
RNAcentral lists this non-coding RNA (100 nucleotides) under Allobosea sp. PAMC 26642. Its description in RNAcentral is "Bosea sp. PAMC 26642 Glycine riboswitch aptamer". It matches the Rfam family "Glycine riboswitch aptamer". Rfam says of the family: This family represents the bacterial glycine riboswitch. Glycine riboswitches usually consist of two metabolite-binding aptamers domains with similar structures in tandem. Lineage: Bacteria; Pseudomonadati; Pseudomonadota; Alphaproteobacteria; Hyphomicrobiales; Alloboseaceae. The record is from Rfam by way of RNAcentral. RNAcentral also lists the same sequence under 1 other name.